This 497-nucleotide ribosomal RNA is filed under the name uncultured bacterium. RNAcentral's name for it is "partial 16S ribosomal RNA". It matches the Rfam family "Bacterial small subunit ribosomal RNA", at positions 28 to 507 of the family's 1533-position model. The record is from RNAcentral.
GAUGAACGCUGGCGGCGUGCCUAAUACAUGCAAGUCGAGCGAACAGAUGAGGAGCUUGCUCCUCUGACGUUAGCGGCGGACGGGUGAGUAACACGUGGAUAACCCACCUAUAAGACUGGGAUAACUUCGGGAAACCGGAGCUAAUACCGGAUAAUAUAUUGAACCGCAUGGUUCAAUAGUGAAAGACGGUUUUGCUGUCACUUAUAGAUGGAUCCGCGCCGCAUUAGCUAGUUGGUAAGGUAACGGCUUACCAAGGCAACGAUGCGUAGCCGACCUGAGAGGGUGAUAGGCCACACUGGAACUGAGACACGGACAAGACUCCUACGGGAGGCAGCAGUAGGGAAUCUUCCGCAAUGGGCGAAAGCCUGACGGAGCAACGCCGCGUGAGUGAUGAAGGUCUUCGGAUCGUAAAACUCUGUUAUUAGGGAAGAACAAAUGUGUAAGUAACUAUGCACGUCUUGACGGUACCUAAUCAGAAAGCCACGGCUAACUACGUG